GUGUCAGCAGCCGCGGUAAUACAGAGGGUGCAAGCGUUAAUCGGAAUUACUGGGCGUAAAGCGUGCGUAGACGGUCAUGUAAGUCGGGUGUGAAAGCCCCGGGCUCAACCUGGGAAUUGCAUUCGAGACUGCAUGGCUAGGAUGCGGAAGAGGGAAGCGGAAUUUCCGGUGUAGCGGUGAAAUGCGUAGAUAUCGGAAGGAACACCAGUGGCGAAAGCGGCUUCCUGGUCCAGCAUCGACGUUCAGGCACGAAAGCGUGGGGAGCAAACAGGAUUAGAUACCCUGGUAGUCCACGCCAUAAACGAUGAGAACUAGACGUUGAGAGGGUAAGCCUCCCAGUGUCGCAGCUAACGCGCUAAGUUCUCCGCCUGGGGAGUACGGCCGCAAGGUUGAA
This 394-nucleotide ribosomal RNA is filed under the name uncultured bacterium. Its description in RNAcentral is "bacterial SSU rRNA". It matches the Rfam family "Bacterial small subunit ribosomal RNA", at positions 505 to 898 of the family's 1533-position model. The record is from RNAcentral.